RNAcentral lists this ribosomal RNA (618 nucleotides) under Ralstonia insidiosa. Its description in RNAcentral is "bacterial SSU rRNA". It matches the Rfam family "Bacterial small subunit ribosomal RNA", at positions 67 to 677 of the family's 1533-position model. The record is from RNAcentral. Lineage: Bacteria; Pseudomonadati; Pseudomonadota; Betaproteobacteria; Burkholderiales; Burkholderiaceae.
CAGCAUGAUCUAGCUUGCUAGAUUGAUGGCGAGUGGCGAACGGGUGAGUAAUACAUCGGAACGUGCCCUGUAGUGGGGGAUAACUAGUCGAAAGAUUAGCUAAUACCGCAUACGACCUGAGGGUGAAAGUGGGGGACCGCAAGGCCUCAUGCUAUAGGAGCGGCCGAUGUCUGAUUAGCUAGUUGGUGGGGUAAAGGCCCACCAAGGCGACGAUCAGUAGCUGGUCUGAGAGGACGAUCAGCCACACUGGGACUGAGACACGGCCCAGACUCCUACGGGAGGCAGCAGUGGGGAAUUUUGGACAAUGGGGGCAACCCUGAUCCAGCAAUGCCGCGUGUGUGAAGAAGGCCUUCGGGUUGUAAAGCACUUUUGUCCGGAAAGAAAUCGCACUUACUAAUAUUAGGUGUGGAUGACGGUACCGGAAGAAUAAGGACCGGCUAACUACGUGCCAGCAGCCGCGGUAAUACGUAGGGUCCAAGCGUUAAUCGGAAUUACUGGGCGUAAAGCGUGCGCAGGCGGUUGUGCAAGACCGAUGUGAAAUCCCCGGGCUUAACCUGGGAAUUGCAUUGGUGACUGCACGGCUAGAGUGUGUCAGAGGGGGGUAGAAUUCCACGUGUA